ACGAAAUAAUCGUCAAGCUCGACUCAGACGUCUUUACAGAGAGUAACUCAAAAAUUGGGAAAACAGCAAAUAAAGUAUUCAGCACUCACAAUUAAGUAUGCAACACAGCAGCAAAACCAGACACUGAUGCACAACCAUCAGUACCACAACGACUACACAAUGUGAAAAUAUAGUACCACUAAUCAGGAGGUCUAGAAGGAGUCAUAGUACCACUAAUCAAGAGGUCUAGAAGGAGUCAUAGGUCCACUAAUCAGGAGGUCUAGAAGGAGUCAUAGUUCCACUAAUCAGGAGGUCUAGAAGGAGUCAUAGGUCCACUAAUCAGGAGGUCUAGAAGGAGUCAUAGUACCACUAAUCAGGAGGUCUAGAAGGAGUCAUAGUUCCACUAAUCAGGAGGUCGAGAAGGAGUCAUAGGUCCACUAAUCAGGAGGUCUAGAAGGAGUCAUAGUACCACUAAUCAGGAGGUCUAGAAGGAGUCAUAGUUCCACUAAUCAGGAGGUCUAGAAGGAGUCAUAGUUCCACUAAUCAGGAGGUCGAGAAGGAGUCAUAGUUCCACUAAUCAGGAGGUCUAGAAGGAGUCAUAGAUCCACUAAUCAGGAGGUCUAGAAGGAGUCAUAGUACCACUAAUCAAGAGGUCUAGAAGGAGUCAUAGUUCCACUAAUCAGGAGGUCGAGAAGGAGUCAUAGGUCCACUAAUCAAGAGGUCUAGAAGGAGUCAUAGGUCCACUAAUCAGGAGGUCUAGAAGGAGUCAUAGUUCCACUAAUCAGGAGGUCUAGAAGGAGUCAUAGUUCCACUAAUCAGGAGGUCUAGAAGGAGUCAUAGUACCACUAAUCAAGAGGUCUAGAAGGAGUCAUAGGUCCACUAAUCAGGAGGUCUAGAAGGAGUCAUAGUUCCACUAAUCAGGAGGUCGAGAAGGAGUCAUAGGUCCACUAAUCAAGAGGUCUAGAAGGAGUCAUAGUUCCACUAAUCAGGAAAUCUAGGAGUCAUAGUAGCACUAAUCAGGAGGUCUAGAAGGAGUCAUAGGUCCACUAAUCAGGAGGUCUAGAAGGAGUCAUAGUUCCACUAAUCAGGAGGUCUAGAAGGAGUCAUAGUUCCACUAAUCAGGAGGUCUAGAAGGAGUCAUAGUUCCACUAAUCAGGAGGUCUAGAAGGAGUCAUAGUUCCACUAAUCAGAGGUCUAGAAGAAGUCAUAGUACCACUAAUAAGGAGGUCUAGAAGGAGUCAUAGUUCCACUAAUCAGGAGUCACAGAAGGAGUCAUAGUACCACUAGUCAGGGCAUCUAUUGUGUCAGUUUUGUGUCUUUGUGUGACUUGUUUACAACGUUUUGUGUCAUUGUGCAUCUUUGCGUGUUGUUCUUGUUCUUUAGGGUUUCUGUUGGACUCAAACAGAUGAAGGACAUCAGGAACCUGUUCUGUGUUUAUACAGACCGUCAGGAAAGUUAAAUUUCA
Acanthochromis polyacanthus (spiny chromis) is the source of this 1444-nucleotide long non-coding RNA. RefSeq lists it as uncharacterized. The transcript has 5 exons. Lineage: Eukaryota; Metazoa; Chordata; Actinopteri; Pomacentridae. The record is from RefSeq and is a predicted model, not a curated record.